This 897-nucleotide ribosomal RNA is filed under the name Triticum aestivum (bread wheat). Its description in RNAcentral is "partial small subunit ribosomal RNA". The record is from RNAcentral. Lineage: Eukaryota; Viridiplantae; Streptophyta; Magnoliopsida; Poales; Poaceae.
AUGCGGGUUCAUAUGGGCGCGGGUGGUCGUGCCAUCGCCUGCAUAUUUGUGUGGCCGCCGAGGGCAGUUUCAUCAUUUCAUAUUAUUGCCCUCGUGUGGCACUUCGUGGGUGGCUGGUCCAUGCCUAAAGGCGAGAGAGCGAUUGGAUCCGAGGGAACCCUAGCCGAUGCCACUGUUCCUCUGCUCUCCCUCUCUAUGUAUGGCCCGAGCCAUCACCUCUCUGCGCCUCCCCACGGGAUCCUGCCGCCAACGCACCUCGCCCCCGGGGCUUUGUCCCUGUCCCUCCUCCUCCUCCGACCCAGCGCCGCAGGGCCCAUCGCUCGGCGCCUCCCACCGGCCUGCGUCGCCGUGCAGCCCUCCGUCGCGCCGGCCCCCGCCACCUCCAUGGGCACCGCCACCUUCGAGCAGGUGCAUGUGCGCCGCAAUGCCUCCCUUCCUCUGUUCCCUUUGGUGAUUGACCGUGUUUUCCUUUCAAUCCCCUGUCCUGUAGCCGCGGUGAUGCCAGGCGCUGGAGCAGCUGUUUGGCGGGGCCGACUUCUCGGAGGACGAGGCGGAGGCAACGAUGUGCUGCUGCUCAACAAGAAGAACGAGGCACGGAUCGCCGCCUUCCUCGUGCUCCUUCGGGCUAAGGGCGAGACCUACGAAGAGAUCGUCGGGCUGGCCAAGGUGAUGAUGAGCAACUGCGUCUGUGUCGAGGGGCUGCACGAUGCUGUAGACAUUGUCGGCACUGGCGGCUACGGCGUGGACACCAUCAACAUCUCCACCAGCUCUGCCAACCUCGUCGGCGCCAAGGUCGCCAAGUUUUCACCUUUUUGGAAAGGAGAAACGGAUAAGCACCAUUUGACUAUCUUGCCACGCUAUUCGCCCUUCCACCUCGUAAUGGUUAGUAACGCCUAA